Molecule: ribosomal RNA, 794 nt
Filed under: uncultured bacterium
Lineage: Bacteria
Description: bacterial SSU rRNA
Rfam family: Bacterial small subunit ribosomal RNA
Source: RNAcentral
AGAGUUUGAUCCUGGCUCAGGAUGAACGCUAGCGGGAGGCCUAACACAUGCAAGUCGAACGGGAUUGGGAGCUUGCUCCCAUGAGAGUGGCGCACGGGUGAGUAACGCGUAUGCAACCUACCUUUAACAGAGGGAUAGCCCAUAGAAAUGUGGAUUAAUACCUCAUAGUUCUAUUGAGUCGCAUGAUUUGAUAGAUAAAGCUCCGGCGGUUAAAGAUGGGCAUGCGUGACAUUAGCUAGUUGGUAAGGUAACGGCUCACCAAGGCGACGAUCCGUAGCUGGUCUGAGAGGACGACCAGCCACACUGGAACUGAGACACGGUCCAGACUCCUACGGGAGGCAGCAGUGGGGAAUUUUGGACAAUGGGGGCAACCCUGAUCCAGCCAUUCCGCGUGAGUGAAGAAGGCCUUCGGGUUGUAAAGCUCUUUCGGCAGGAACGAAACGGUGGAGGUUAAUACCUUUCAUCAAUGACGGUACCUGAAGAAGAAGCACCGGCUAACUGCGUGCCAGCAGCCGCGGUAAUACGUAGGGUGCGAGCGUUAAUCGGAAUUACUGGGCGUAAAGCGUGCGCAGGCGGUUCUAUAAGACAGAUGUGAAAUCCCUGGGCUUAACCUGGGAACUGCGUUUGUGACUGUAGGACUCGAGUGUGGCAGAGGGGGGUGGAAUUCCACGUGUAGCAGUGAAAUGCGUAGAGAUGUGGAGGAACACCGAUGGCGAAGGCAGCCCCCUGGGUUAACACUGACGCUCAUGCACGAAAGCGUGGGGAGCAAACAGGAUUAGAUACCCUGGUAGUCC